This 73-nucleotide transfer RNA is filed under the name Marmota monax (woodchuck). RNAcentral describes it as "tRNA.Ala". The stretch from base 7 to 67 matches the Rfam family "tRNA", at positions 6 to 65 of the family's 71-position model. From Rfam's summary of the family: Transfer RNA (tRNA) molecules are approximately 80 nucleotides in length. Their secondary structure includes four short double-helical elements and three loops (D, anti-codon, and T loops). The record is from RNAcentral. Lineage: Eukaryota; Metazoa; Chordata; Mammalia; Rodentia; Sciuridae.
UGGAGUUGUGGCUCAGUAGUAGAGCACUUGCCUAGCAUGUGUGAGGCACUGGGUUCAAUUCUCAGCACUGCAA